Long non-coding RNA from Dicentrarchus labrax (European seabass), 227 nucleotides. RefSeq lists it as uncharacterized. Lineage: Eukaryota; Metazoa; Chordata; Actinopteri; Moronidae. The record is from RefSeq and is a predicted model, not a curated record. The transcript is spliced from 3 exons.
UCUCAACCUUGUACCAACAUUUAACAGCUGGAUUCUUAACUUUAAAAUCAGAAAUGGAUUUUCACGUGACUAUGAUUCUCCUCUUCUUUGGAUACAGCUUCAACUCCUGCUCUCAGUUCCCCCUGCGAGAGUACCACUAUGUUAACAAGCUAAUGAGCUGGACCGAAGCUCAGCAUUACUGCAGAGAGAAAUACACUGACCUGGCCACCAUUGAAAGCAUGGAUGAC